ACACACACUUAGUCCCCAUUAACACACACACUUAGUCCCCAGCAUUAAACACACACACUUAGUCCCCCAGCAUUAAACACACACACUUAGUCCCCCAGUAACACACACACUUAGUCCCCCAUAACACACACACUUAGUCCCCCAGCAUUAAACACACACACUUAGUCCCCCAUAACACACACACUUAGUCCCCAGCAUUAAACACACACACUUAGUCCCCCAGUAACACACACACUUAGUCCCCAGUAACACACACACUUAGUCCCCAGCAUUAAACACACACACUUAGUCCCCAGUAACACACACACUUAGUCCCCAGUAACACACACACUUAGUCCCCAGCAUUAAC
Oncorhynchus tshawytscha (Chinook salmon) is the source of this 349-nucleotide long non-coding RNA. The record is from Ensembl. NCBI's taxonomy places the organism in Eukaryota, Metazoa, Chordata, Actinopteri, Salmoniformes, Salmonidae.